Molecule: ribosomal RNA, 627 nt
Filed under: Pleroma urvilleanum (princess flower)
Lineage: Eukaryota; Viridiplantae; Streptophyta; Magnoliopsida; Myrtales; Melastomataceae
Description: eukaryotic LSU rRNA
Rfam family: 5.8S ribosomal RNA (bases 250-405)
Source: RNAcentral
UCGAAAUCGAACGGAAGAACGACCCGCGAACCGUCUUUGCGUAACGAACCGAGCUCGCGAGCAGCAAACGCUCGCGCGUCUCGUGUCGCGUCGGCACGGUCCUCGAAAGGGCCACGCCGCACCGACAAACUAACAAUGUCAGCACGGAUCGUGCCAAGGAGCUGUACAUGCGAGAGUCGCCGUCCCACGCCCCCGGUCCCCCUCGACUGGGGGCGGGUGACAUGCGCGAUCUCCGCUCUUAGUCUUAAUGACUCUCGGCGACGGAUAUCUCGGCUCUUGCAUCGAUGAAGAACGUAGCGAAAUGCGAUACUUGGUGUGAAUUGCAGAAUCCCGCGAACCAUCAAUUCUUUGAACGCAAGUUGCGCCCGAAGCCAUCCGGCCGAGGGCACGCCUGCCUGGGUGUCGUGAAUCCCCUUGCCCCCGGGCACCCGCACGAGCAUCGUCGCGGAUAUGCCCGGGCGCAGAAUAUGGUCUCCCGUCGGAUCGGCGUGCGCUGCACGUCGUGGGGCGGUUGGCCGAAAAUCGAGCAUUGCGACGUCGGGCUCCACGGCGUUCGGUGGAUCGAACGCGAUUGGCUGCGCCGUGGUCCCGUCAUGCCGCGGGCUCCGGACUACGACGAUUCCCGUG